Molecule: unclassified non-coding RNA, 329 nt
Filed under: soil metagenome
Description: partial contains 5.8S ribosomal RNA, internal transcribed spacer 2, and large subunit ribosomal RNA
Rfam family: 5.8S ribosomal RNA (bases 1-120)
Source: RNAcentral
GAUGAAGAACGUAGCGAAAUGCGAUAAGUAAUGUGAAUUGCAGAAUUCAGUGAAUCAUCGAAUCUUUGAACGCACAUUGCGCCCCUUGGUAUUCCGAGGGGCAUGCCUGUUCGAGCGUCAUUAUAACCCCUCAAGCUCAGCUUGGUGUUGGGGCCUGCUGCACUGGCAGCCCUUAAAAUCAGUGGCGGCGCCAUCUGGCUCUAAGCGUAGUAAUUCUUCUCGCUAUGGAGUCCUGGUGGAUGCUUGCCAUCAACCCCCAAUUUUUCUAUGGUUGACCGCGGAUCAGGUAGGGAUACCCGCUGAACUUAAGCAUAUCAAUAAGCGGAGGA